RNAcentral lists this long non-coding RNA (83 nucleotides) under Canis lupus familiaris (dog). Its description in RNAcentral is "lncRNA (ENSCAFG00000041598.2)". Lineage: Eukaryota; Metazoa; Chordata; Mammalia; Carnivora; Canidae. The record is from RNAcentral.
ACCUGCUUGGAGCUCCCCCCGCCAUCACCACACAAUUCCUUGCAGGGUUGGAUUGUUACCAUCACAAGCAAUACUGUAACAAC